RNAcentral lists this ribosomal RNA (565 nucleotides) under uncultured bacterium. Its description in RNAcentral is "bacterial SSU rRNA". It matches the Rfam family "Bacterial small subunit ribosomal RNA", at positions 337 to 916 of the family's 1533-position model. The record is from RNAcentral.
UCCUACGGGAGGCAGCAGUAGGGAAUCUUCCGCAAUGGGCGAAAGCCUGACGGAGCAAUACCGCGUGAGGGAAGACGGCCUAUGGGUUGUAAACCUCUUUUUUCAGGGAGGAAUUUUGACGUGUACCUGAAGAAUAAGCAUCGGCUAACUCCGUGCCAGCAGCCGCGGUAAGACGGAGGAUGCAAGUGUUAUCCGGAAUCACUGGGCGUAAAGCGUCUGUAGGUGGUUAAGCAAGUCAACUGUUAAAUCUUGAGGCUCAACUUCAAAAUCGCAGUCGAAACUGUUUGACUAGAGUAUAGUAGGGGUAAAGGGAAUUUCCAGUGGAGCGGUGAAAUGCGUAGAUAUUGGAAAGAACACCGAUGGCGAAGGCACUUUACUGGGCUAUUACUGACACUCAGAGACGAAAGCUAGGGUAGCAAAUGGGAUUAGAUACCCCAGUAGUCCUAGCCGUAAACAAUGGAUACUAGAUGUUGAACAGAUCGACCUGUGCAGUAUCAAAGCUAACGCGUUAAGUAUCCCGCCUGGGAAGUAUGCUCGCAAGAGUGAAACUCAAAGGAAUUGACGG